AUAUCAAAGAUUUUAUCGCUCAGAGAUGGACUCGCGUCCGAUUAGUUAGUUGGUGAGGUAACGGCUCACCAAGACCGCGAUCGGUAGCCGGAAUGAGAGGUUGAACGGCCACAUUGGGACUGAGACACGGCCCAGACUCCUACGGGAGGCAGCAGUGGGGGAUAUUGCGCAAUGGGGGAAACCCUGACGCAGCAACGCCGCGUGAAGGAUGAAGGUCUCCGGAUUGUAAACUCCUGUUGUUGAGGAAGAUAAUGACGGUACUCAACAAGGAAGUGACGGCUAACUACGUGCCAGCAGCCGCGGUAAAACGUAGGUCACAAGCGUUGUCCGGAAUUACUGGGUGUAAAGGGAGCGCAGGCGGGAUAGCAAGUCAGCUGUGAAAACUAUGGGCUCAACCCAUAAACUGCAGUUGAAACUGUUAUUCUUGAGUGGAGUAGAGGCAAGCGGAAUUCCGAGUGUAGCGGUGAAAUGCGUAGAUAUUCGGAGGAACACCAGUGGCGAAGGCGGCUUGCUGGGCUCUAACUGACGCUGAGGCUCGAAAGCAUGGGUAGCAAACAGGAUUAGAUACCCUGGUAGUCCAUGCCGUAAACGAUGAUUACUAGGUGUUGGAGGAUUGACCCCUUCAGUGCCGCAGUUAACACAAUAAGUAAUCCACCUGGGGAGUACGACCGCAAGGUUGAAACUCAAAGGAAUUGACGGGGGCCCGCACAAGCAGUGGAGUAUGUGGUUUAAUUCGAAGCAACGCGAAGAACCUUACCUGGUCUUGACAUCCCCUUGACCGCUCCUUAAUCGGAGUUUUCCUUCGGGACAAGGGUGACAGGUGGUGCAUGGUUGUCGUCAGCUCGUGUCGUGAGAUGUUGGGUUAAGUCCCGCAACGAGCGCAACCCUUGCUAUUAGUUGCUACGCAAGAGCACUCUAAUAGGACUGCCGUUGACAAAACGGAGGAAGGUGGGGACGACGUCAAAUCAUCAUGCCCCUUAUGACCUGGGCUACACACGUACUACAAUGGACAUUAACAGAGGGAAGCAAUACAGUGAUGUGGAGCAAACCCCUAAAAAUGUUCUCAGUUCAGAUUGCAGGCUGCAACCCGCCUGUAUGAAGAUGGAAUUGCUAGUAAUCGCAGAUCAGCAUGCUGCGGUGAAUACGUUCCCGGGCCUUGCACUCACCGCCCGUCA
This 1175-nucleotide ribosomal RNA is filed under the name uncultured bacterium. Its description in RNAcentral is "bacterial SSU rRNA". It matches the Rfam family "Bacterial small subunit ribosomal RNA", at positions 198 to 1399 of the family's 1533-position model. The record is from RNAcentral.